GCCUGUAUAGCUCAGUUGGUUAGAGUGUGGUGCUAAUAUCACCAUGGUUGCAGGUUCAAUCCCCAUAUGAGACA
This is a non-coding RNA of Podarcis lilfordi (Lilford's wall lizard), 74 nucleotides long. NCBI's taxonomy places the organism in Eukaryota, Metazoa, Chordata, Lepidosauria, Squamata, Lacertidae. The record is from the annotation of a GenBank genome assembly.